RNAcentral lists this transfer RNA (71 nucleotides) under Marmota monax (woodchuck). Its description in RNAcentral is "tRNA.Ala". It matches the Rfam family "tRNA". From Rfam's summary of the family: Transfer RNA (tRNA) molecules are approximately 80 nucleotides in length. Their secondary structure includes four short double-helical elements and three loops (D, anti-codon, and T loops). The record is from RNAcentral. Lineage: Eukaryota; Metazoa; Chordata; Mammalia; Rodentia; Sciuridae.
GGGGUUGUGGCUCAGCGGUAGAGUGCUCGCUUAGCAUGUGUGAGGCCCUGGGUUCAAUCCUCAGUACCACA